RNAcentral lists this ribosomal RNA (705 nucleotides) under uncultured archaeon. Its description in RNAcentral is "bacterial SSU rRNA". It matches the Rfam family "Archaeal small subunit ribosomal RNA", at positions 119 to 824 of the family's 1478-position model. The record is from RNAcentral.
GACUGGGAUAACCUUGGGAAACUGAGGCUAAUACCGGAUAGGCAAUUUUUCCUGUAAUGGUUUUUUGUUUAAAUGUUUUUUCGCCUAAGGAUGGGUCUGCGGCCGAUUAGGUGGUUGGUUAGGUAAUGGCUUACCAAGCCGUUGAUCGGUACGGGUUGUGAGAGCAAGAGCCCGGAGAUGGAACCUGAGACAAGGUUCCAGGCCCUACGGGGUGCAGCAGGCGCGAAACCUCCGCAAUGUGAGAAAUCGCGACGGGGGGAUCCCAAGUGCCAUUCUUAACGGGAUGGCUUUUCAUUAGUGUAAAGAGCUUUUGGAAUAAGAGCUGGGCAAGACCGGUGCCAGCCGCCGCGGUAACACCGGCAGCUCUAGUGGUAGCAAUUUUUAUUGGGCCUAAAGCGUCCGUAGCCGGUUUAAUAAGUCUCUGGUGAAAUCCUGUAGCUUAACUGUGGGAAUUGCUGGAGAUACUAUUAGACUUGAGACCGGGAGAGGUUGGAGGUACUCCCAGGGUAGAGGCGAAAUUCUGUAAUCCUGGGAGGACCGCCUGUUGCGAAGGCGUCUAACUGGAACGGUUCUGACGGUGAGGGACGAAAGUUAGGGGCGCGAACCGGAUUAGAUACCCGGGUAGUCCUAACUGUAAACGAUGCGGACUUGGUGUUGGGGUGGCUUUGAGCUGCUCCAGUGCCGAAGGGAAGCUGUUAAGUCCGC